ACAGGAGCAGUAAAGGAAGGAACGACCUCAGCAAACCGAGGCGUGAAACCGCCUGGCGCGUGGGGGCGCUGGUCCGGGCCUCGAGGGCUCCGCCCCACCUUAACCACCUCCCAAAAGCCCCGCCUCCUAAUACGCACAUGGGGGUUAGGUUUCAACGGGGACACAAACCUUCAGACCACAGCCAUCGGGGCGAAAGGUGUGUGGAGACAAACCGGAGACGACUUAGAAAAGCGUCUUCCACGGAACGCAUCUUGCACACUGAUGGUGCGCAAGAUGUGCACGGGGAGCACACAGCUCACGAGCUGGUACCUCGGGUGCUCAGUGCAGCUGCUGUUACUGGCCCAUCGCCGUGCUAUCUCCCGGGGGACGCUCAGAGCCCUGGAGCCCGCCUCCCUGCUGACAAGACUCGCUUUCCCUCGGACGAGGACCUUGCCUGGAUGGGCUUCGUUUCCCCAUUGCGCAGGCGCCUGGCACACGACGGAUGCCCCCUAGCGGUCAGGAGGAUGAGCGAAGGCAGGCAGCAUGGCCGGAGCCCCGUGGGGGGGCUCUCUGCCCGAUGUGAGGUCGCCACUGGAAAGUUCCCAGCAGGGAACUGGGUGACCCCAGCACGGCCGGAAGAGCCAGGGUGGCUGCGGGCUUCCAAGUAAGCCCCUCACCACCUCUCCCUCCAGCACCCCCUAGUGCAGACAUUUACCCAGGGGCUAAUUAUCGGGAUCUGUGAAGACUUUGGAGUGAAAACACGGUGAGCAUGCUGAGCGCUUGGAAACAGAGUUCUCCGUGCCUGGUUGUAUCACAGCUGUGAACACCCACAGACGGCAGGACAAAGGACCCUGGGAGGGAAAGCCAGUCUGGGGCCAGAAGACAAAAGGGAAGCUACACGUGCCAGCAUCCAGUUGCCUUUGGAAGGCAUUCUGCGCGAGAGGAUGUGGGCUGUGGACGGCCAAGAGAAUGCUUCUGCCCCGCAGGAAAUGGCCCAAGAAUGAAUUAUGGAGAAAAGGAUGACUGCUCUCAGCACGUGGACCUUGACCCCAGAGAGAAAUUGAAAAAACAAACCCUCAGGUAGUUCCAUAGGCUGCCACCAGAGGGCGCCACAAACCGCCCAGCUAGGUGGGUCUUGGUAAUUUACAAAACUAAAAUAAAAUUUGCUGGUGUAACAGGCUAUUUAGAACAUAGUUGUUUCCAACCUGAUAUAAUUCAAGCUUGUAUUAAAGUCCCAUAAUUCCGAAA
Molecule: long non-coding RNA, 1227 nt
Organism: Leopardus geoffroyi (Geoffroy's cat)
Lineage: Eukaryota; Metazoa; Chordata; Mammalia; Carnivora; Felidae
Exons: 2
Source: RefSeq, a predicted model, not a curated record